GAUGAACGCUGGCGGCGUGCCUAAUACAUGCAAGUCGAACGAAGAUCUAGCUUGCUAGAUCUUAGUGGCGAACGGGUGAGUAAUACAUAAAUAAUCUGCCCAUAUGACUGGGAUAACUAUUGGAAACGAUAGCUAAUACCGGAUAGGUUGAUCGGAGGCAUCUCUGAUGAAUUAAAGUAGGAUUUCUACACAAAUGGAUGAGUUUAUGGCGCAUUAGUUAGUUGGUGGGGUAACGGCAUAACAAGACGAUGAUGCGUAGCCGACCUGAGAGGGUGGCCGGCCACACUGGGACUGAGACACGGCCCAGACUCCUACGGGAGGCAGCAGUAGGGAAUUUUCGGCAAUGGGCGCAAGCCUGACCGAGCAACGCCGCGUGAGUGAUUAAGGCCUUCGGGUUGUAAAGCUCUGUUGUAAGGGAAGAACAUUCAGGAUAGGAAAUGAUCUUGAACUGACGGUACCUUACCAGAAAGCCACGGCUAACUACGUGCCAGCCGCCGCGGUAA
This 503-nucleotide ribosomal RNA is filed under the name uncultured bacterium. Its description in RNAcentral is "partial 16S ribosomal RNA". It matches the Rfam family "Bacterial small subunit ribosomal RNA", at positions 28 to 523 of the family's 1533-position model. The record is from RNAcentral.